This 496-nucleotide ribosomal RNA is filed under the name Geobacillus thermoleovorans. RNAcentral describes it as "bacterial SSU rRNA". It matches the Rfam family "Bacterial small subunit ribosomal RNA", at positions 37 to 513 of the family's 1533-position model. Lineage: Bacteria; Bacillati; Bacillota; Bacilli; Caryophanales; Anoxybacillaceae. The record is from RNAcentral.
UGGCGGCGUGCCUAAUACAUGCAGUCGAGCGGACCAAAUCGGAGCUUGCUCUGAUUUGGUCAGCGGCGGACGGGUGAGUAACACGUGGGCAACCUGCCCGCAAGACCGGGAUAACUCCGGGAAACCGGAGCUAAUACCGGAUAACACCGAAGACCGCAUGGUCUUUGGUUGAAAGGCGGCCUUUGGCUGUCACUUGCGGAUGGGCCCGCGGCGCAUUAGCUAGUUGGUGAGGUAACGGCUCACCAAGGCGACGAUGCGUAGCCGGCCUGAGAGGGUGACCGGCCACACUGGGACUGAGACACGGCCCAGACUCCUACGGGAGGCAGCAGUAGGGAAUCUUCCGCAAUGGGCGAAAGCCUGACGGAGCGACGCCGCGUGAGCGAAGAAGGCCUUCGGGUCGUAAAGCUCUGUUGUGAGGGACGAAGGAGCGCCGUUCGAAGAGGGCGGCGCGGUGACGGUACCUCACGAGGAAGCCCCGGCUAACUACGUGCCAGCA